UAAUACGUAGGGGGCAAGCGUUGUCCGGAUUUAUUGGGCGUAAAGCGCACGCAGGCGGUCUGUCUCGUUUCCAGUGACAGGUGGUGGCUUAACUACCACAGGCCUGGGAAGACCGGCAGACUUGAGGGCUUGAGAGGGAGGCGGAAUUCCAGGUGGAGCGGUGAAAUGCGUAGAGAUCUGGAAGAACACCAAAGGCGAAGGCAGCCUUCUGGCAAGCUCCUGACGCUAAUGUGCGAAAGCCAGGGGAGCGAACGGGAUUAGAUACCCCGGUAGUCCUGGCCGUAAACGAUGACCACUCGACGUGGGAGGUAUCGACCCCUUCCGUGUCAAAGCUUACGCAUGAAGUGGUCCGCCUGGGGAGUACGGUCGCAAGAUUA
This 377-nucleotide ribosomal RNA is filed under the name uncultured bacterium. RNAcentral describes it as "bacterial SSU rRNA". It matches the Rfam family "Bacterial small subunit ribosomal RNA", at positions 521 to 896 of the family's 1533-position model. The record is from RNAcentral.